This 72-nucleotide transfer RNA is filed under the name Capra hircus (goat). It matches the Rfam family "tRNA". Rfam says of the family: Transfer RNA (tRNA) molecules are approximately 80 nucleotides in length. Their secondary structure includes four short double-helical elements and three loops (D, anti-codon, and T loops). Further hydrogen bonds mediate the characteristic L-shaped molecular structure. tRNAs have two regions of fundamental functional importance: the anti-codon, which is responsible for specific mRNA codon recognition, and the 3' end, to which the tRNAs corresponding amino acid is attached (by aminoacyl-tRNA synthetases). tRNAs cope with the degeneracy of the genetic code in two manners: having more than one tRNA (with a specific anti-codon) for a particular amino acid; and 'wobble' base-pairing, i.e. permitting non-standard base-pairing at the 3rd anti-codon position. Lineage: Eukaryota; Metazoa; Chordata; Mammalia; Artiodactyla; Bovidae. The record is from Rfam by way of RNAcentral. RNAcentral also lists the same sequence under 1 other name.
UCCUUGGUGACUCAGAGGGUAAAGCAUCUGCCUGCAAUGCAGGAGACCCAGGUUCGAUCCCUGGGUUGGGAA